Long non-coding RNA from Myotis lucifugus (little brown bat), 605 nucleotides. RefSeq lists it as uncharacterized. The transcript is spliced from 2 exons. NCBI's taxonomy places the organism in Eukaryota, Metazoa, Chordata, Mammalia, Chiroptera, Vespertilionidae. The record is from RefSeq and is a predicted model, not a curated record.
GCCACGGGGUGGGCUGGAGACUGGAGCCCCAAACAGGCCUGAAAACACGGCCCCAGAUCCCUAGUCACCCCACCGUCAUUAACAGCUGCUGCAGACCCUAAGGAGCUAUGUUUGAAGUGAGCACAACUCAGUCCAAAUUCAGAAGUGAUGAGACAGGCUGGAUGAGAUAAGUGUACAUGAAUAGGUAAAAGAAACAAACAAAAACCACUGCGUCAAAUGUCUGGAGUCCUAAGAAUUGCUAUUUUGAAACGGGGUGCCAUUUUCAGAUUAAUAUGCUAAAGAGUUAAGCCUACUGGGGACAAUCCCUAGGAAAGUCAGGAAAAGUAGGGGUGCCUGCAGGCAGUUAUCAGGGUCCCCUCUCCAGCCGUCAGACGCCCCCGGAAACUGAGACUCUCUCCAGAGCAGGAGCUCAGCUACUGGAUCAGCUGAGUCAUCUACUGUUCAAAGCCUCAUUACUCUCAAAGUCCAAGGGAAGGACCGGGCUUAAGGAUGAACAGCAAGUCAUCUGUAAAGGAGAAGGGCAUCCAUGUCUUUGGGAAUGAGAGGAACAUCAUAAGCUCUUUGAGUAAAAAAGUGGCACCAAAACAAAUAAAUGUGUCAUUUGA